CCAUAUAGGGGGGUUCAUUAUGCAUGCGAGUCGAACGGUAUAUCGAAAGAUAUAUAGUGGCAAACGGCUGAGUAACACGUAAGUAACCUGUCCUUAAGUGGGGAAUAAUCCGCCGAAAGGUGGACUAAUACCGCAUGUGGUAAUAGAGGUAGGACUUUAUUACUAAAGCUUUCGGGCGCUUGAGGAGGGGCUUGCGACCUAUCAGGUAGUUGGUGGGGUAACGGCCCACCAAGCCAAUGACGGGUAGCUGGUCUGAGAGGACGUCCAGCCAGACGGGGACUGAGACACGGCCCCGACUCCUACGGGAGGCAGCAGCAGGGAGUUUUGCGCAAUGGGCGAAAGCCUGACGCAGCAACGCCGCGUGAGGGAUGAAGGCCUUCGGGUUGUAAACCUCUUUUAUCAGGGAAGAAUAAUGACGGUACCUGGUGAAUAAGUCACGGCUAACUACGUGCCAGCAGCUGCGGUAAUACGUAGGUGGCAAGCGUUAUCCGGAUUCACUGGGCGUAAAGAGCGCGUAGGUGGUCCUUCAAGUCAGAUGUUAAAUCUCCUGGCUUAACUGGGAGCUGUCAUCUGAUACUGCUGGACUUGAGGGCGGUAGAGGGAGGUGGAAUUCCCGGUGUAGUGGUGAAAUGCGUAGAUAUCGGGAGGAACACCAGUGGCGAAAGCGGCCUCCUAGGCCGUUCCUGACACUGAGGCGCGAAAGCGUGGGGAGCGAACAGGAUCAGAUACCCUGGUAGUCCACGCCCUAAACUGUGGAAACUAGGUACAGGGAGUAUCGACCCUUCCUGCGCCGUAGCUAACGCGUUAAGUUUCCCGCCUGGGGACUACGGUCGCAAGACUAAAACUCAAAGGAAUUGACGG
This 861-nucleotide ribosomal RNA is filed under the name uncultured Chloroflexota bacterium. Its description in RNAcentral is "bacterial SSU rRNA". It matches the Rfam family "Bacterial small subunit ribosomal RNA", at positions 34 to 916 of the family's 1533-position model. The record is from RNAcentral. Lineage: Bacteria; Bacillati; Chloroflexota.